GUGCCGCAGCUAACGCAUUAAGCACUCCGCCUGGGGAGUACGACCGCAAGGUUGAAACUCAAAGGAAUUGACGGGGGCCCGCACAAGCGGUGGAGCAUGUGGUUUAAUUCGAAGCUACGCGAAGAACCUUACCAGGUCUUGACAUCUUGCGCCAACCCUAGAGAUAGGGCGUUUCCUUCGGGAACGCAAUGACAGGUGGUGCAUGGUCGUCGUCAGCUCGUGUCGUGAGAUGUUGGGUUAAGUCCCGCAACGAGCGCAACCCUUGUUACUAGUUGCCAGCAUUAAGUUGGGCACUCUAAUGAGACUGCCGGUGACAAACCGGAGGAAGGUGGGGAUGACGUCAAGUCAUCAUGCCCCUUAUGACCUGGGCUACACACGUGCUACAAUGGGCAGUACAACGAGAAGCAAGCCUGCGAAGGCAAGCGAAUCUCUGAAAGCUGUUCUCAGUUCGGACUGCAGUCUGCAACUCGACUGCACGAAGCUGGAAUCGCUAGUAAUCGCGGAUCAGCACGCCGCGGUGAAUACGUUCCCGGGCCUUGUACACACCGCCCGUCACACCAUGGGAGU
This 567-nucleotide ribosomal RNA is filed under the name uncultured bacterium. RNAcentral's name for it is "bacterial SSU rRNA". It matches the Rfam family "Bacterial small subunit ribosomal RNA", at positions 843 to 1411 of the family's 1533-position model. The record is from RNAcentral.